Ornithorhynchus anatinus (platypus) is the source of this 279-nucleotide long non-coding RNA. RefSeq lists it as uncharacterized. The transcript is spliced from 3 exons. The record is from RefSeq and is a predicted model, not a curated record. Lineage: Eukaryota; Metazoa; Chordata; Mammalia; Monotremata; Ornithorhynchidae.
CCAGCUGCUGCAAAUUGGUGCACAGUAAUUUCCUCAUCUAGUUCAGCUCACAGUGACAUCUGCAAACUUGUGUCCCACAGAAAUCUGCAGACAACAGAACUACAUAGAGAACUGGGGACUAAAGUGCCACUGAAAAAUCUCUUCAGAGCUCCAAGGUGUUGCCUGUUUGGUUUAAGCUGAAUUCAAAGGCAGUUUUCUGGAGAAUUGAAGGGGUGACAGAAACUGAUCCCACUUGAUCUGGAGUCCCCAUAGUCCAGGAACUACAGGAAGACGAUAAGG